AUAGAUCCUGAAACCGCAUGCUUACAAAAAGUAGGAGCCUCGAAAGGGGUGACUGCGUACCUUUUGUAUAAUGGGUCAGCGACUUACAUUCAGUGGCAAGGUUAACCGAAUAGGGAAGCCGUAGAGAAAUCGAGUCCGAAUAGGGCGAUCAGUCGCUGGGUGUAGACCCGAAACCAAGUGAUCUAUCCAUGGGCAGGAUGAAGGUGCCGUAACAGGUACUGGAGGUCCGAACCGACUAAUGUUGCAAAAUUAGCGGAUGACCUGUGGAUAGGGGUGAAAGGCUAAACAAACUUGGAAAUAGCUGGUUCUCUCCGAAAACUAUUUAGGUAGUGCCUCAAGUAUUACCAUCGGGGGUAGAGCACUGUUUUGGCUAGGGGGUCAUGGCGACUUACCAAACCAAGGCAAACUCCGAAUACCGAUGAGUACAGCUUGGGAGACAGAGCACCGGGUGCUAACGUCCGGACUCAAGAGGGAAACAACCCAGACCGCCAGCUAAGGUCCCUAAAAUUGGCUAAGUGGGAAACGAAGUGGGAAGGCUAAAACAGUCAGGAUGUUGGCUUAGAAGCAGCCAUCAUUUAAAGAAAGCGUAAUAGCUCACUGAUCGAGUCGUCCUGCGCGGAAGAUGUAACGGGGCUAAGCCAGUUACCGAAGCUGCGGAUUUGCAAUUUAUUGCAAGUGGUAGGAGAGCGUUCUGUAGGCCUGUGAAGGUGGUGGUGUAAACCCUGCUGGAGGUAUCAGAAGUGCGAAUGCUGACAUGAGUAGCGUUAAAGGGGGUGAAAAGCCCCCUCGCCGUAAGCGCAAGGUUUUCUACGCAACGUUCAUCGGCGUAGAGUGAGUCGGCCCCUAAGGCGAGGCAGAGAUGCGUAGCUGAUGGGAAACAGGUCAAUAUUCCUGUACCGAUUACAAGUGCGAUGUGGGGACGGAGAAGGUUAGCUCAGCCAACUGUUGGAUAUGUUGGUUCAAGCCUGUAGUCAUGCCUGGUAGGCAAAUCCGCCGGGCUAAGAUGAGGGGUGAUAACGAGUGUGCUUGCACACGAAGUGAGUGAUACCCUGCUUCCAGGAAAAGCCACUAAGCUUCAGCUUGUAAUUGACCGUACCGCAAACCGACACUGGUGCGCGAGAUGAGUAUUCUAAGGCGCUUGAGAGAACUCAGGAGAAGGAACUCGGCAAAUUGAUACCGUAACUUCGGGAGAAGGUAUGCCCCUAUUAGGUGAACUUGAACAAAGGGAGCCGAACGGGGUUGCAAAAAAUCGGUGGCUGCGACUGUUUAAUAAAAACACAGCACUCUGCAAACACGAAAGUGGACGUAUAGGGUGUGACGCCUGCCCGGUGCUGGAAGAUUAAAUGAUGGGGUGCAAGCUCUUGAUUGAAGUCCCAGUAAACGGCGGCCGUAACUAUAACGGUCCUAAGGUAGCGAAAUUCCUUGUCGGGUAAGUUCCGACCUGCACGAAUGGCGUAACGAUGGCCACACUGUCUCCUCCUGAGACUCAGCGAAGUUGAAAUGUUUGUGAUGAUGCAAUCUCCCCGCGGAAAGACGGAAAGACCCCAUGAACCUUUACUGUAGCUUUGUAUUGGACUUUGAACAGAUCUGUGUAGGAUAGGUGGGAGGCUUUGAAGCGAGGUCGCUAGAUCUCGUGGAGCCAACGUUGAAAUACCACCCUGGUGUGUUUGAGGUUCUAACCUAGGUCCAUUAUCUGGAUCGGGGACAGUGCAUGGUAGGCAGUUUGACUGGGGCGGUCUCCUCCCAAAGCGUAACGGAGGAGUUCGAAGGUACGCUAGUUACGGUCGGACAUCGUGAUAAUAGUGCAAUGGCAUAAGCGUGCUUAACUGCGAGACUGACAAGUCGAGCAGAUACGAAAGUAGGACAUAGUGAUCCGGUGGUUCUGUAUGGAAGGGCCAUCGCUCAACGGAUAAAAGGUACUCUGGGGAUAACAGGCUGAUACCGCCCAAGAGUUCAUAUCGACGGCGGUGUUUGGCACCUCGAUGUCGGCUCAUCUCAUCCUGGGGCUGUAGCCGGUCCCAAGGGUAUGGCUGUUCGCCAUUUAAAGAGGUACGUGAGCUGGGUUUAAAACGUCGUGAGACAGUUUGGUCCCUAUCUUCCGUGGGCGCUG
Molecule: ribosomal RNA, 2110 nt
Filed under: Limnohabitans sp. 15K
Lineage: Bacteria; Pseudomonadati; Pseudomonadota; Betaproteobacteria; Burkholderiales; Comamonadaceae
Description: bacterial LSU rRNA
Rfam family: Bacterial large subunit ribosomal RNA
Source: RNAcentral